Molecule: non-coding RNA, 69 nt
Organism: Triticum urartu
Lineage: Eukaryota; Viridiplantae; Streptophyta; Magnoliopsida; Poales; Poaceae
Source: Rfam
GUCGUUGUAGUAUAGUAAGUAUUUCCGCCUGUCACGCGGGUGACCCGGGUUCGAUCCCCGGCAACGGCG